Molecule: ribosomal RNA, 492 nt
Filed under: uncultured bacterium
Lineage: Bacteria
Description: partial 16S ribosomal RNA
Rfam family: Bacterial small subunit ribosomal RNA
Source: RNAcentral
AGUGAACGCUGGCGGUAGGCCUAACACAUGCAAGUCGAACGGCAGCACAGUAAGAGCUUGCUCUUACGGGUGGCGAGUGGCGGACGGGUGAGGAAUACAUCGGAAUCUACUUUUUCGUGGGGGAUAACGUAGGGAAACUUACGCUAAUACCGCAUACGACCUACGGGUGAAAGCAGGGGAUCUUCGGACCUUGCGCGAUUGAAUGAGCCGAUGUCGGAUUAGCUAGUUGGCGGGGUAAAGGCCCACCAAGGCGACGAUCCGUAGCUGGUCUGAGAGGAUGAGCAGCCACACUGGAACUGAGACACGGUCCAGACUCCUACGGGAGGCAGCAGUGGGGAAUAUUGGACAAUGGGCGCAAGCCUGAUCCAGCCAUACCGCGUAGGUGAAGAAGGCCUUCGGGUUGUAAAGCCCUUUUGUUGGGAAAGAAAAGCAGCAGGUUAAUACCCCGCUGUUCUGACGGUACCCAAAGAAUAAGCACCGGCUAACUUCGUG